GAUGAACGCUGGCGGCGUGCCUAAUACAUGCAAGUCGAGCGAACAGACGAGGAGCUUGCUCCUCUGACGUUAGCGGCGGACGGGUGAGUAACACGUGGAUAACCUACCUAUAAGACUGGGAUAACUUCGGGAAACCGGAGCUAAUACCGGAUAAUAUAUUGAACCGCAUGGUUCAAUAGUGAAAGACGGUUUUGCUGUCACUUAUAGAUGGAUCCGCGCCGCAUUAGCUAGUUGGUAAGGUAACGGCUUACCAAGGCAACGAUGCGUAGCCGACCUGAGAGGUGGACCGGCACAACUGAACUGAGGACACGGCCCAGACUCCAACGGAGGGAGGCGGAAGGAAACUUUCCGCAUGGGCCGAAGGCUGGCGGGGCCAACGCCGCGGGGUGGAUAAGGUCUUCCGAUUCGUAAACCUCGUUAAUAGGGAAAAAACAAAUGUUAAGGAAACAAUCACCGCCUUAACGUUACUAAAUAGAAAAGCACCGCCAACCUACUU
This 496-nucleotide ribosomal RNA is filed under the name uncultured bacterium. RNAcentral's name for it is "partial 16S ribosomal RNA". It matches the Rfam family "Bacterial small subunit ribosomal RNA", at positions 28 to 506 of the family's 1533-position model. The record is from RNAcentral.